CAACAUGGCACAUGUAUACAUAUGUAACAAACAAACCUGCACAUUGUGCACAUGUACUCUAAAACUUAAAGUAUAAUAAUAAUGAAAGAAAAAAGAAAAAAAGAAAGUUAUAAAGAUCUAAUACAAUUCCAUUAUGAAAUUACCACUUUAUGUCUCAGAAAGUAAAAUGGCAGCUUCAAAGAUAAAUGCUGCUCACAACAAUCAGUCAGAAAAUUCUUGCCCACAGCAAGCAGCAGAACACAGGGAUGCACGUUCAAAAAGACUCACGAGUAGCUUUCGAAGCACUCACAUUCGCUGUGUCUGUAAAGAGUUAGGAAGGUUCAGGGAUCCAAGGGCAGAUCUGGCAGGAGAAGGGCCAUCUUGAAGGGACAGGCAUGAAAACCCAGGAGUGGUCUGCACAGCUCCCACCGGGAACUCAGGGGAUCCUCACGGGUGGGUGUGGGGAGCAGCCCCGUGUGCACCCUCCUGGCCUGGAGAGGUGCUCCCAGGAGCUGAGCACGUGUCGCAGCCCAGCUCAGUGCCGUGAUUUGGAGAGCAAGCUCCCCGAGCCCUGCAGUGGCUAACACAGGAACCCUCGUUGCCCUAGAAAGUUUCAAGAAUGUGUCUUGAACUGAGAAGACACGUGUUUUAAGAACUGAGAAUUCCCCUGAACUGCCAUGCUCACCUGGGGUUCUUCAUCCUCAGGGAACUGGUCAGCAGGAAAGCCUGGCACAGGCCAGUCGUGGGGCCAUGCGGCAGCAGCAUUGGCUAAUUUCUGAGAACUCAUCCCAAGGGAAGCGUCCUGCGGAGUCAACGGGCAGCAUCUCCCGACAGGUGCCCAGAGCAACCAAGAACACGCAGGACAGCAAAACGCCCGUCAACCAAGAACACACGGGACAGCAAAACGCCGGUGGCUCCUCAUCUGUUGAGGACUCUGGCUCCGGUACAAGUUUGAUGAAUAAAUAUCCUCAACUCAAUGACUAAAGGCAUAGGGAGGGUUACGCGAGAAUCAAAACACCCAGCAGCUGCCAGAACGCUGCCUGCUCGUGCAGUAGAAAGUGGUCCUCACGGCAAUCAUCUAAAAAAUGCAAACACGGGUCGUCCUUCACCAGCUCCUGCGCUCCUCCAGACCGAAGGCUGUGGGUUUUGUCACCUUCCUGACAACUCUGUGAUAAACUAUUAGGAAUGUCUUAUGGAUGGCGAAAUGGAAGCCCAGAAAUGCUGAGGGACUGCUCUACGGGCCCAAGGAUACAGUAAGAGCCAAGACUCAACCCCAAGCGAGUCUGGUGCUGCACUGGAG
Molecule: long non-coding RNA, 1279 nt
Filed under: Homo sapiens (human)
Lineage: Eukaryota; Metazoa; Chordata; Mammalia; Primates; Hominidae
Description: HSALNT0117007
Source: RNAcentral